Molecule: ribosomal RNA, 253 nt
Filed under: uncultured bacterium
Lineage: Bacteria
Description: partial 16S ribosomal RNA
Rfam family: Bacterial small subunit ribosomal RNA
Source: RNAcentral
GACAGAGGCCUCAAGCGUUAGGCGGAAUCACUGGGCUUAAAGCGUGUGUAGGCGGACGCCUAAGUACCUUGUGAAAUCCCACGGCUCACCCGUGGAACUGCUGGGUAUACUGGGUGUCUUGGGCCAUUCAGGGGCAACUGGAACAAGCGGUGGAGCGGUGAAAUGCGUAGAUAUCGCUUGGAACGCCGAAGGUGAAAACAGGUUGCUGGGGAUGCGCCGACGCUGAGACACGAAAGCGUGGGUAGCAAACAGG